Molecule: long non-coding RNA, 263 nt
Filed under: Sorghum bicolor (sorghum)
Lineage: Eukaryota; Viridiplantae; Streptophyta; Magnoliopsida; Poales; Poaceae
Description: long non-coding RNA (SBIC_LNC013616)
Source: RNAcentral
CAAUACAGUGCAUGGAUCGGAUUGAUUCCCAGCCUAAAUAGUGUCCCGGCUUCACGGUCAGAAUGACUUAUCCUUCCAGUUAAAUGUGAGGCAUGCAUUCAACAUGACAAGAUGGCCGUCAAUGAUUGGUCCUUAAUUAAUACAAAUAGAAUUACUAUGGUCCAACACCCCCAUAAGGCUCUAUCCAGUCUCAACUUGUUUCUCAACACUUGGUUAUCCACCUUGACAGCAAACAUAUUUCCAACCAUUUUGAUGUCCACCUA